CUAUUUCUGACACACUAGGCCAGCUGUGUUCCUAAUAAACAAUACCCCUCCUAAUUCUGACACGCUAGGCCAGCUGUGUCCCUAAUAAACAAUGCCCCUCCUAAUUCUGACAUGCUGGGUUAGCUGUGGCCCUAAUAAACAAUGUCCCUCCUAAUUCUGACAUGCUGGGUUAGCUGUGUCCCUAUAGCUAAUAAACAGUGCCCCGCCUAUUUCUGACACACUAGGCCAGCUGUGUCCCUAAUAAACAAUGUCCCUCCUAAUUCUGACAUGCUGGGUUAGCUGUGUCCCUAAUAAACAGUGCCCCGCCUAUUUCUGACACACUAGGCCAGCUGUGUCCCUAAUAAACAAUACCCCUCCUAAUUCUGACACGCUAGGCCAGCUGUGUCCCUAAUAAACAAUACCCCGCCUAAUUCUGACAUGCUAGGCCAGCUGUGUCCCUAAUAAACAUUGUCCCUCCUAAUUCUGACAUGCUGGGUUAGCUGUGUCCCUAAUAAACAGUGCCUCGCCUAAUACUGACAUGCUUGGUUAGCUGUGUCCCUAAUAAACAUUAUGGAAUGUGUAUUAUGAUUUAUCACAUUAAAGAAGUAGUUUGAAUCCUAGAGAUAAUGGAAGAGACCUUUAGAACAGGUAUUGUUUUCCUGGAUAAAUAAAAAGGAAACAUAAUUUUUGAAAAGUAGUUUUGUUCUAUGGAUAAUGGAAGAAUUAUUCUUAAAAGGUCAAUGGUUCCUCUGCAAUCAUUUUUCUUGAUGAUAAGCCUCAACAUGAACAGUGAUCCACUGUUUAAGAUUCGUUUAAGAGUUUUAUUAAACACAGUUACAGUUAAAUGUUAUUAUUAUUAUUAUUUAAUGGACUUUUGUUGUAUACUGUAUACAGGGAAAUUUCGCUGCAGUUUAAUUUUCACCUUUUUCGCCCUCGGUAACGAGAAUGAAUUUAUCAUCACAGCUAACAUUUGUAAACAAUAUAGUAUACUUAGUAAUUUAAUGUGAAGGGUGAUUUGAUAUUGGGCGAACAUUUUAACGAGCAAACAAAAAUUCUGUAUACAGUAUUAAAUUUAUAUUGUAAUUAUUAUAUGUUGUUACUUCUCUUGUUCUAAUGGUCUGCUUAAAAUUCUUUGAAAUGAAAUGUUGCCGACAUUAUUGAAUCCUGAGUUAUGUAUCUAUUCUAGCUUGUCAGAUGUAGCGAAAUGAAUUUUUGUCUGACUUAUUUUAUAAUUACCAGGCUGUGUGAUCAUUGAUCAUCAAGGUAAUUCAGAAUUUAAAGUUUGCUGUUCCUUUAUACAUAUGAAUUCUAUGUUUCCCACAUGAUCUUGUUGUAUUGAUAUGAUUUUUCCUGAUGUGAUAGAAUUACUACCAAUCAAAGAAAUUGUGUAGAUGAUUGUUGAUAAAUGAACCUUCAACCCAUUUCUGUUAUAAGGAUUCUAAAAUGGUGUGAUCCUUAUUGGGCGAUAAGUAUAGUUCUGUAAAUAGAGAUAAUAAUAGUAUGGGGUCUGUGAAUUAAUUAAGUUAGCAUGAGUAACAAUACAAAUUAAUAUUGAAGUUUUUACCUUGUGUCCUGGUAAAGGGCUUUAAGUAGUGAGGGACUGUAAAGAGGGUUUGGAUUAGCCCCUGUUAUAUGUUAAUUGAAGAUACACAAUGUACAUGUACUAAAUUAUAAAUAGCCUAAGGGGAUAAUGAGGUCAAUCCCUCAACAGAAGAUCAGGUAUCGAGGUCCCUCCCAACAGAUGGAGACAUGGCGUUAGAGGUUAAUAAUUUGUGACCCUAAAGUAUUAAGACCGAUGGAAUUAAUAAUCGCUAAGCUUUGAAUAAUUAAAAAGAAAAAGGUGAACUGCAAUACAAGUACGUCCGUUAUAUAAAUUAGCAGUGAGCGAUUUUGUUGUUGAUGGGUUGUUCGAAAGAUACAUGUAUAUGUGACGCAGAACUGGCCCGAGUUGUUCAUUGGCAACCAGGUGGCCAGUUGAUAGAGUGUCUGUAUAGGGUUCAGAAGGUCCUUCAGACAGCUUCAAAUCCUGGUCUGACCAUGCAUUUCUCUUAGGUGUCAACCUCUGAAACUUCCAAUAAGGGAGAUCUCCUUCAUUCCACAUUUCCAAUGAGAAAGAAAGUGCAUGAAACAGGACUGAAACUGCUUUGUUCAAUUUAUCUGUCCCUUUUUAUGUAUCAAAAUAACUCCAAAAAACAUACAUUUGAUUCCGACUCGCCAGUGUUACGAUCAUUAUACACACACCCUGCAGUAACUAAGAGAUCAUUUAUUGACAGGAUGAAACAUUUUGAGUUUGUGUGAGUUUGGACUAGAAUGAGGGAAUUUUGAGAGGGAUUGGUAAAUUUUGGUGAAACUGGAGGAGUCUCCCUCCUAGUGAGGGAGGGUUGAUGGCUAUGAUUUCUCUCCCUUGUUACAGUCACUAGGUGUGAUGACUAUGAUUUCUCUCCCUUGUUACAGUCACUAGGUGUGAUGGCUAUGAUUUCUCUCCCUUAAUUGUUACAGUCACUAGGUGUGAUGGCUAUGAUUUCUCUCCCUUGUUACAGUCACUAGGUGUGAUGGCUAUGAUUUCUCUCCCUUGUUACAGUCACUAGGUGUGAUGGCUAUGAUUUCUCUCCCUUGUUACAGUCACUAGGUGUGAUGGCUAUGAUUCCUCUCCCUUGUUACAGUCACUUGGUGUGAUGGCUAUGAUUUCUCUCCUUUGUUACAGUCACUAGGUGUGAUGGCUAUGAUUUCUCUCCCUUGUUACAGUCACUAAGUGUGAGUGACCAACACUUGUUACAAGUAGUGGGUGAAUGCUCAGCAAGGGGAUACCCAAAUCUGGGUGGUUAAUAGUGCAUUGCCUUUGGUGAGAAAUUCUUAUUAGAUAAUGCAGUAGUGGAACUAGACGGGGUCGAUCAUCAGCAACCAGGCAGCUCAAUUGGUAGUCAGCCUCUGACUAGAGUUCGGAAGGUCCUGGUUUAAACCCUGGUUGGACCCAACAUUGCUCUCUUCUGUUACAUAUAAAUCUAACAUGCUUCAUAAUGAUAAGUACAAAGACACCUUGAAGGCACUGAUUCUUGAUUUGAUACUAAGAUAGACCAUGUUUAUUGUUGAUAAUUAUAUAUAUAACUGUCAAAUUAUUGAAUUGGGAAUGUGUUGCACAGCAGAGUAAUACUAACAUUAAAAACAACAAAGGAGGAGUUAGGGUAUUGAGAUCUUUAAACAUAUGCCAUGGUAAUAUGUCUUAAUUGUCUUCUAGAAAGUGGACAUCUCUUACGUUAUGGUGGCAGCAAUGCUAUGUUGCUAGGCAACAACAACUAUUGAUAUGUUGCUUGGUAACAACUGCCGCCAAGGAGAUAUUUUAUAAGACUAUCAUGCAUUGUUGUAUUUGCAAAUUUGUCUCCCCUAAAUCCUCAAUGAGCAAUUAUUUGAGUCAUCAUAAUUGCUAAUGAUGGUACUCAUAGGAUACAUUCUAUGUUUUUCCCUUAAUGUUACACCCGGUUUGCCAAACCGAAGAUAGCACUGUGCCUGUGCAAUAUUUAUAUGCUAUAGACCAGUAGCUUGAUCUUUUACAGAGCAUAUUGUAACUUGUAAUUGUGCUAUUAGGUAGAAAUUUGUUUUUAAUAACAUGCUAAAACAAACUUUAUUACUUUAUUAAUUUCCUAUGUAUACAGUAAUGGCAUCAUCUAGCGUCACAGUUAUUCCUUAAUCCCAUUUAAUCCUGGAGCCAUCCAUGUGCAUCCUGGUGUUGGCCAUUUUGCCUGAUUAGUCUAAACAUGGUGUUUAAAGUUUGAGAGGGAAUUACUGGUUAUAAUAAGCACAUAAGUUAUAAUGUAGGUUGCUCACAUGAGCUGGGAUUUUCUAACAUGUGCUUGAAUUAGAAAAACAUUUCUCGCAUGAAGAAAUCAUUGGACAUGUGCAUUGGAGGUGAGCCAUUUCUUUGCUAACAUAAACUAACUUGAAGCUCAUGGGCAAAACUUCACUUGCAUACAUUUCUAACUUGUUUCUGACGUAUCAGCUGCUUCGAUGAUGAACUAAUGUUAAAGUUUUCUGUACGGUAGCUCACCUGGCACAAAGUGUCUUAGAGCUAAGGUUAAAGUUUUCUGUACGGACAGGUCACCUGGCACAAAGUGUCUUAGAGCUAAGGUUAAAGUUUUCUGUACGGGUAGCUCACCUGGCACAAAGUGUCUUAGAGCUAAGGCUCGAGUUUUCUGUACGGGUAGCUCACCUGGCACAAAGUGUCUUAGUGCUAAAGCUAGAGUUUUCUGUACAGGUAGCUCACUUGGCACAAAGUGUCUUAGAGCUAAGGCUAAAGUUUUCUAUACGGUUAGCUCACCUGGCACAAAGUGUCUUAUAGCUAACGUUAAAGUUUAAUUAGUUUUUAAGAACUAUUAAUACAAGCUUACAACAUGUUUUUUUAAAUAUGUUUAGAAUCGUAAUGAAAAAAACCUUUGAUCAAUUCAUGAACGUGUAUUUCCAUCUUUCUCUUAACUUUGUUUAUUUGAUAAAAUAUCAAUCAAUUGGUUGAUUUAAUCAUCAGUUGGAAAGAAAAAGUUUGGAUUUUACAGCAGGUAUCUUGAUAUGACUUGUUAAACUCUCGUUUUGACCCCUGUUUUGACCACCCUUUUAGAUUGUAUCUUGGUAAGCAUUCUUUGCAUAAUAUUUACAAACAAAUGUAAAGAUAGGUCGAUCAUUAAACCCAUAUCUAAAUGUUAAUAGAAAGUCAUGAAAUGAAAUUUUGAUAAUGUAUACAUAUUGUGAUAAUUUUAUUAGCAUUAAUUUGUGUUUGUGAAAAUAAUACAUUUCUAUUGUUUUAGUUUACUAAAUCCUGUAGUUUCUAGAAAAUUUAUAUGUAUAUAUAAAUAUAUAAACACGUAUAUAAAUUCAGAAAUUUGAUUUCAUCAGCAGAUUACACUAUGUCCACUUUGAAUAUAUUUGUAUGGCUUACCUGGCAGAAAGUGCCUGCAAACUAAAGGUAUGGUGCAAUUGUCCCUCGUCCAUCCUUAAACAGCUAAUUCUUGAUAUCAUUGUUUUUCAAAAAGUAGGGGAUAGAUCUUGCUUAAAUUUCAUAUGAAUAUUCCCCUUUGUCCCUAAUUGUGCAUAUUGAUUUGAAUAACAAGAUGGCCACCGAACAGCCAUCUUGGUUUUUACAGUUAAAGUUUGUUAUUACAUGGAAGUACUGGGGGAUGUUUGUUCUAUUUAUAGACACCCCUUCACUUGGAUCUUACUUAUGUUCAUUUUCAGCUUUAUUGGAAAAAAUUCACCAGGAGGCAAACACAUCUGACAUCUUUAAUUCGACUGUUGAAGUUUGCCAUUACUAACUGUUCAGAAAGUAAAAUCACUGUUCUUUCUAAAGUUUCAGCCGUAAUACUUCCUGUUCCCUAUUUCGGCACAUAUUCAAUUUGAGCUUAAGCUGUUCUGCUUGAUCAGAAGAAAUAUGCGACUACCAGAAAUCAGAAUUUUCUUUCUGUCUAUUUUUACACUUUAUUACUUUAUAUACUAGUAAGUAGGCCAAAUAACAACCUUAGUAUAGAACUUUGACCAAAAUUUACAAAUUUGCAUUAUCUCUCCACAUGACUCCAUAUCAGCUAAGAGAAAAGAACAGCCCAACUUGGCUAGAACCAAUGAAGAUCCUACAACGUCGGGUAGCAAGAUCCCUCUUGGAUUUCAUUUCUUUGAACAUCUUCUUCAAUACCGAAAAAUCUGUUGUCCAUAAUAUUUAGCCAGUAGGUAAAUAGGAUGACGAACUAUAAAGUUUCUUCUAUAACUGACCUGGACCAACAUUCAAGGUCACUGGUGAAAUAUUAACAAAAUCAAGCAAAAUUGUCUAAAGAACUAUUGAAGGUCGCGAUCUAUAGCUAUGAUACUAGGAUAGGUCAUGUAGACCAGCAGUGUGGAACUUCUUCUAAUACACAUACCUUGUGUCAAGGUCAAAGGUCAACUUUGUGAACUGGCCAGGUUCAAAGAUUAACAUGGGUUUAUAUAAUGGGUAAAACGAUUUAAAGAGUAAACUUCUGAAGUUCAAUAAGCCACAGGGUCAUUAUAUUUAGCCAGUAGGAAUCUGGUAUGAUGUGCUUUAAAUUUUGUCAUAUAAAUGACCUUGACUAACUUUUAAGGUCCCAGGAGUCAAAUAUGUUAAAAAAAGUCAACAAGGUCCAGAGCAAUGCUGAGUAGACAUGUAGACCAGCUGUGAAAAUCUAUUUCUAAUGUACAGUGGUAAUAUUUAAGAGCUAGCUCAGAGAUCAUAUGUUAACAUAAGUUAUUUAGUGGGUAAAAAACUUGAAGAAAACUCCUUGUAAGGUUCACACCAUUGUGGGUCAUGACAUUCAGCAAGAAGGUGCCAAUGCAAGGCCUUGGGUCAAAACUUGAGAAGUUGUGGGAACUGUUGAAAACCCAAUUAUAACUUGGGAAGUUGAAGGAACUGUUGAAAACCCCAUUAUAACUUGGGAAGUUGUGGGAACUGUUGAAAACCCCAUUAUAACUUGGGAAGUUGUGGGAACUGUUGACAACCCCAUUAUAACUUGGGAAGUUGUGGGAACUGUUGAAAACCCAAUUAUAACUUGGGAAGUUGUGGGAACUGUUGAAAACCCCAUUAUAACUUGGGAAGUUGUGGGAACUGUUGAAACCCCCAUUAUAACUUGGGAAGUUGUGGGAACUGUUGACAACCCCCAUUAUAACUUGGGAAGUUGUGGGAACUGUUGAAAACCCCAUUAUAACUUGGGAAGUUGUGGGAACUGUUGACAACCCCAUGAUAACUUGGGAAGUUGUGGGAACUGUUGAAAACCCCAUUAUAACUUGGAAAGGUAAAAAGAUCCCUAUCAUAUUAAUAUUCAUAUACUGCUGGGCGUAAAGGAAAGAACACAAACUUGUUACCAGGAUCUAGCCCCUCCCCUAGGACACAAAAUUAACAUGAAAUCGAUGAAAUGUCAGUCCCAAUAACCAUACACAUACAAUGUAUGUAAACUGAUCUGAACAAGAUUUGCUAUGAAGCAUCUUUAGGACCAGAAGGACAGACCUAAAAUGAACGUAUAUUUAUAAUACUUAUUUUAAAGGGAUUAUUUUGCAAUGAAUGUCCAGAUGAGUGAUACAAGCCCUUUGGACCUUUUACUGCAUGAAUGAGUAUACUUAAGCUAACAUGCUUUACUGUAUCCCUGUAAACACCAUAUAUAUUGUUAGUGAUGUUUGUGAUAAUAUCAGAUAAAAACCUGCAACAUAUACUUGAAAAAUUUGUGCUCCAGUAUAUCUCCGGUGAUCCAAAUGGGCUAGGUGUGACAGGCCCGUUAGGUCUUGUUAUUUUUGUUUUUGAGGGUUUGAGUUACUUUAGGAAUGUUGUCAUGUUCUCUUGUGUUGUUUGUAUAAAGCUUUCAAAAAAUAAAGGAAUACAAGAGGUAGAA
RNAcentral lists this long non-coding RNA (7349 nucleotides) under Mizuhopecten yessoensis (Yesso scallop). Its description in RNAcentral is "uncharacterized LOC110449059". The record is from RNAcentral. Lineage: Eukaryota; Metazoa; Mollusca; Bivalvia; Pectinida; Pectinidae.